GCGGCCUGAUUUGGGGCAGGCUGGGCGCUGUGGGAGCCCCGGCACUUCUCAAAGCCUGUUUCCGUGCAGCAGUGGCAGUUUGGUGUUCGGGCUCAGGGAUGGCUGGUUGAGCCCGGCCGUAGGAGCAGGAGGGCUGGAGCUGAAUUGGGAGGACUCUCGUUCCCAGGAGGUUUCCCCCGUCUCAGUCCAAUGGAUCUGACUGCUCUUCCCACGCACAGGUACUAGAGACUUAGUUUGUCUUCCAAAGAGCCAGGUCCCGUUCAAGAACAUGCUCACAUACCUCAUGGGCACGAAUGGCAGAACAGAUUAACAUGGGUAGAACAAUACCUUUACCAGCAGCCACUUAACACAAAAUGCACAACCCAGCCCUUGUCUUUCUCUCCAGGUGAUCAGGACUGAUGUUCAGUAGUGAAACACACACACAUCACUCCCUAGAUUUGCAAGCACAGCAUGUUCGUGGUUCCCUUAAAUAUUACCGUGGGUAUUAAGUUUGAUUAAAAUCCACGGCUGGAUGUCAAGCUACUUAUCAUAGAAUUGUCUAGGUUGGAAGGGACCUUUAAGAUCAUCGAGUCCAACGGCUAACCCAGCACUGCCAAGUCCACCACUAAACCAUGUCCCUCAGCACCACCUCUACGCAGCUUUUAAAUCCCUCCAGGGAUGGUGACUCCACCACUUCCCUGGGCAGCCUGUUCCAGUGCUUGAUAACACUUUCGGUGAAGAAAUUUUUCCCAGUAUCCAUCCUAAACCUUCCUGGCACAACUUGAGGCCGUUUCCUCUUGUCCCAUGGCCUGUUCCUUGGGAGAAGAGCCUGACCCCCCCUGGCUACCCCCUCCUUUCAGGGAGCUGCAGAGAGCGAGAAGGUCUCCCCUCAGCCUCCUUUUCUCCAGGCUGAAUACCCCCAGCCGCUCCUCACAAGACUCCUGCUCCAGACCCCUCACCAGCUCCGUUGCCCUUCUCUGGACACGCUCCGGCCCCUCGAUGUCCCUCCUGGAGUGAGGGGCCCAAAACUGGACAGAGCCCUCGGGGUGGGGCCUCACCAGAGCCCAGUACAGGGGGACAAUUGCUUCCCUAGUCCUUCUGGCCACACUGUUUCUAAUAGACGCCAGGAUGCUGUUGGCCUUCUUGUCCACCUGGGCACACUGCUGUAAUUGGCACAGACCUUGGAUCUUUCCAGAUCCGUAUGUCCUCUUGCUUGUGAGUGAGUCCAGCUUCAAGUUCACCAGUGAAUUGCACACACACACAGUGCUCCCACCAGAAGCUGGCCCCGGACACGCGGUGUUUCCAACGGCGGGGUCCCUGUGACGUCUGUUCCCUUCUGCCAUUGCUGGCAGCCAGGCCUCCGGACCCACCCGCACCAGGUACUGCCAGAGUCCUCUCCCCAAAAUGACCCCAACUCUUCCUUCAGUUAUCUGUGAAGUGUGCCCUCCUCUCUCAUCAUCCCCCAUAAGUACCCAUGAAAUCUGGCUCUUCCUUAUG
Chroicocephalus ridibundus (black-headed gull) is the source of this 1476-nucleotide long non-coding RNA. RefSeq lists it as uncharacterized. The record is from RefSeq and is a predicted model, not a curated record. Lineage: Eukaryota; Metazoa; Chordata; Aves; Charadriiformes; Laridae. The transcript has 2 exons.